Molecule: transfer RNA, 89 nt
Filed under: Acidobacteriota bacterium
Lineage: Bacteria; Pseudomonadati; Acidobacteriota
Description: Acidobacteria bacterium (bioreactor metagenome) tRNA-Leu
Rfam family: tRNA
About the family: Transfer RNA (tRNA) molecules are approximately 80 nucleotides in length. Their secondary structure includes four short double-helical elements and three loops (D, anti-codon, and T loops).
Source: RNAcentral
GCGAAAGUGGCGGAAUUGGUAGACGCGCAAGGCUCAGGACCUUGUGGCUCUAAAAAGCCGUGGGGGUUCGAGUCCCCCCUUUCGCACCA